GCUAAUUCGUACUGCUUGGAUGACCCUGCAUGUAUCGAAAAUGACUACGGUGUUGUGUAGUCAGACAUGAAGGGCAUUAAGUAUCAGGUCUUAUCUAAGGCAAAGAUUACAACCAAAUAGAAAUAUGGUAUGCUGGACCUUAAGACAUUUUCAGCAUUUUCUACUGCUCUCUUUCAAGUGUACAUCUUAGGAUCCAUGUAACGUGGUGUCUGUUUUUCUUCUUUCAAAAAAUGAGAAUGACCAAGAGGAAAAAUGAAAAAAGAGUGAUGCACCACCAGUCUGGUGAUAUUUGUUCUAUCAGGCAUAGACGGAAUGUUCUACUUCUCUAUUUGAGGCAACAUGCUCUUGCUGACCCUUUCUGAGCAGGCAUUUGGACUGGAUCAUUUCCAGAGAUGACUUCCAACUUCCAACUUCUGUGAUUCUGUGAUAAAGCUUAAGAUAAUACUUAGUUUAAAUCCAUUACAUAUUUUAUUCUAUCUUUCUUCCCUGAUAAUAUCUAGCAUUCAAUUAGAGUUUUCACUCUACUGAGGUAACCUCUUUAUAAUCUUGCCUACUACACUCAACUACUACUACUUAUAAGCCUACUACAGUUGAAUGAUCAGCUAAGAGCUAGUCCUAGUUUUAUGUUUUUUCAUCUUACAUUCAUUAUUUACAUUUAACUGUAAUUAAUUUGUAGGAUGCAGUGCUUGGGAAUGGUUGGGCAUUCUAGUUUUAGUGUCAGGACAGACAGACAACCUUCACAAAGCAUCAGUCUGAAGAUAGAGAUGGUAACAAUAGGACCUUUUUCACACAAAUACAUGAAUUGCAAAGUCCUUCUCACAUCUGUCUAAUUGAAUACAUAGGAGAGACAGCUGCUAUUCUCAAACCAAGAAGAGCACUUGCAGUUCAAGCACUUACUGGAGUGAAUGAAGAAGGGAACAGUGUGAUUAAUAUCCAACUACUGUUAUUUAGCAGCUUCUUGUACUCCAUGCCAGAGGGUCUGAUAGUUUAGAUGACUGAUUCCCUAUGGUGCCGUGUAAACACAAGAUGAUUAUCCUUAAUUUUCAAUUUAUUUUUACAAUUGUAUUUUCAGCAAGAAGUAGCUUGACAUACAGCAUCUAAGUUUUUUUAGGUUCUUAGGUGUCUUUUGGGUUGAGAGUUUGGGUCAGCACAAUAGCAGAAUUGAGGCUUUAUGAUUAUUUUAGCACCCAAGUGAGUUUACAUAAUGAUAUAAAAUACUGGCACAAACCAGAGUUUAAUAUGUUAUUGUUUUGAUUAGCAUGAGCUGGUAUAACCUUCGUGGAAGGAUGGGAAAACAAUCUUUCUCAUUUAUGUCAACAAGUACAGAUUGCUGAUCUAUCUUGUUUCUGCAUUUGUUUUGGGUUGUUUUGUUUCUGAGGGCAAAGGGGAUGCAAUAGGGUGGAAGUUUAUGUCCUUUUCAAGCAACAUUUUAUAUUUCUAAUGGAUUUCCCUCUCUGCUCUCCCCCUCAGGAGUAUCAUCCUAAUAUUGCGUCUAAAAGAUUUGCCAUGAAAUGAGACCAAAUCUGAGUUAGUUUGUAGUGAUCUGUUUUCAUAGUCUAAUGUUACUGGACACAUUGCUGUACUUAAAAAGUUACAAGAAAAAUGCUGUUUAGGAGCUACCCAAUUAUUUAUAUGCAAGUAUUAACUGUGAAGCACCUCAGCAUUACAUUUAUGCUGGCACAUUUUGCAUCUCUCUUUAAAUAUCUGUGUAAAAAUUGUCAUGCGGAAGGUUGUUAAAAGUGUUUCUAACUAAUGCAUAUAUAAACAGACACAUAUAUACAUAUAUUUAUUUAUAUUUAUAUUUCCGCUUUUUAAUGUACAGAUAGGGGUUUGAUUUUCUGCAAGAAAUAUGUGGAAUAUUAGGAAUGCAAAUGUAAAACUCCUUGAAGGCAGAAGCGGUUUGCUUCUAUGUUCAAGUUUAUAUCCAUAUUAGCAAGUUGAGAGUAUAAAUGUUGUGGAUCAUUUUUUUAGUCUAAUUUAAAUAUGUAAACGUUGCAAAAUCACUGCAUACCCGGGCACUCUCUGAAUAAAAUCUUCUGAUUU
Long non-coding RNA from Gallus gallus (chicken), 2043 nucleotides. The record is from Ensembl. Lineage: Eukaryota; Metazoa; Chordata; Aves; Galliformes; Phasianidae.